RNAcentral lists this ribosomal RNA (497 nucleotides) under uncultured bacterium. Its description in RNAcentral is "partial 16S ribosomal RNA". It matches the Rfam family "Bacterial small subunit ribosomal RNA", at positions 28 to 507 of the family's 1533-position model. The record is from RNAcentral.
GAUGAACGCUGGCGGCGUGCCUAAUACAUGCAAGUCGAGCGAACGGACGAGAAGCUUUCUUCUCUGAUGUUAGCGGCGGACGGGUGAGUACCACGUGGAUAACCUACCUAUAAGACUGGGAUAACUUCGGGAAACCGGAGCUAAUACCGGAUAAUAUUUUGAACCGCAUGGUUCAAAAGUGAAAGACGGUCUUGCUGUCACUUAUAGAUGGAUCCGCACUGCAUUAGCUAGUUGUUAAGGUAACGGCUUGCCAAGGCAACGAUGCAUAGCCGACCCGACAGGGUAAUAGGCCAGACUGGAAGUGAGACACAGUCCAGACUCCUACAGCGGCAAGCAGUAGGGAAUCUUCCGCAAAGGGCGAAAGCCUGACGGAGCAACGCCGCUCUAGUGAUGAAGGUCUUCGAAUCGUAAAACUCUGUUGUUAGGGAAGAAGAUAUGUGUAAGUAACUCUGCACAUCUUGACGGUACCUAAUCAGAAAGCGACGGCUAAAUACGUG